This is a long non-coding RNA of Ruditapes philippinarum (Manila clam), 1113 nucleotides long. RefSeq lists it as uncharacterized. The transcript has 2 exons. Lineage: Eukaryota; Metazoa; Mollusca; Bivalvia; Venerida; Veneridae. The record is from RefSeq and is a predicted model, not a curated record.
UAUGAAAGUACACAAAAUAUAAAAAUCUUUUGAGAAAAAAAAAUGCAUUUCUAAUGCAUAAUGGGCCUUUAAGCCAGUGUAGAAUCUCAUGCUGAUUGUGUCAAAUAAUAUUAUGCUGUCCAGAGGCCUGCAUUAUACAUGUAAAAUUUCAUUUAACUCAUUCGAAAAAUCUAGUGAAUGAAGAUAUAGUGAUAUUCUUUUUAUUACAUACUCAAAACAAGAGGGCCAUGAUGGCCCUGAAAACGCUCAUCUGUAUAAAGGUCGCUGGGGCAGGUCAAUUUUAACCCAGGGACUUUUAUUCAAACAAACUUGGUGGACACUCACUAGAAGAUAUUUCAUGCUAACUAUCUAAACUCUAGUUCUUUGGGUUUUUUAAAAGAAGUUUUUUAAGUUUUUACUAUACACAUAUAAGCAGGGCUCGCGCUGGCAGAAGCCAAUGAGCAAAUUGGCUCCAAAAUUAUUAAAUUGGCUCAAGAAAAUCAUGAUUGGCUCCAACUUACGAAAAGUAUAACUUUUGGAAUAUCCAGUCUAAAUUUAGCAUUUGCUAUUUUAAGAAUGGAAAAGUACACAUUUGGUUUUCCAUUUACAACUUCCGCUUUACCGCUUCUUAUCACAAAACUCUGCGACACAGUCUCCUUUUUGUGGGGUCAUUGACUGGUCUAUAUUUGUUACUUCCCUUCCAAAUAAAAUAUCGUUAUAAACAGUAACACAGUCUAAUACACUGACCUCAUGGUAUGUUUACAUGUUUAUCAGCUGAUAAAUAUGACACUAAUUGGUGUGAAUUGUUGAAUGUGCACUGGAUAAUUGGUCUUUAAAUUCAAUAUGAAACAAUAACCAGCGGCAUCUUAAGAUUAUCGCCAAUCAUAUCGACAGUUUGGUUAUGAAAUAUACGACUUUACGAUACAGAUAGUCCUCAAACCAAAUCUUUGGCAUUAACCAAGCAAGCUGAAGCAGCACAUGUGGUUCUGAUGUCACUGUCAUGCCACUAACUUUGAUUGCUGACCAAAUUAGCCUGGAAAAUGUUAUUCUUAUAGCUACUGAGCUGCAAGCUUUUAUGAUCAGUUUUAAAGUGAUUAAAAUGUAGCUACCAAAAUAAAGUUGGAUAUACAUGUA